GGUAGCCCUUGCAUUGCAAGAUGAUGAUUUGAUUAUGGACACAUUAUCAACAGAAUUGAAUUUGCAUGGAACUCAAGACACGCUUAAGAUCACCACAGCAUAACUGCAGAUUUCAGGAAUUACAGUCAUAGAGGGUACAUCAACUUGAAGAGUAGAUUGAGUCUUACAGGAAGUGAGUUACAAUAAGUAACAUUAAGAGCCCAGCUGCCAGCCUGGCCAACAUGGUGAUCCUCCCGCCUAGGCCUGGGAUUACAGGCGUG
RNAcentral lists this long non-coding RNA (260 nucleotides) under Homo sapiens (human). RNAcentral describes it as "HSALNT0002109". Lineage: Eukaryota; Metazoa; Chordata; Mammalia; Primates; Hominidae. The record is from RNAcentral.